Columba livia (rock pigeon) is the source of this 5615-nucleotide long non-coding RNA. RefSeq lists it as uncharacterized. The transcript is spliced from 3 exons. NCBI's taxonomy places the organism in Eukaryota, Metazoa, Chordata, Aves, Columbiformes, Columbidae. The record is from RefSeq and is a predicted model, not a curated record.
UUUAACCAUUGCAAUACCCUAAGUAAUGAGAGAAAGAAAAUUUGGAGUCUGCGGAGGUGGUGAUUACGUGGCGCAGAGCAUCCUUCCUCUGCAGAGCAUCGAUUGCCCAAGCGUGGUUUCGGGUGGUUCAGGGAGGCUGUGGAGGGCUAUCUUGCUUUCUGGGUGAACUGCCCUUGUGAGGACUUUGGAGGGGGUGCCCCCUUUUAAUAGGGGUUCAAGGCCUGUAACACCUCUCCUAUGAAGAGAGGCUGAGUUGGGGUUGCUCAGCUUGGAGAAGGGAAGGCUUGUUGUGGCCUUUGAAUGUAUAAAGGGGGUGUAUGAAGACCGAGAGAAACAUUUUACCGGGGACUGUAGUGACAGAACAAGGGGUAACCAUUUAAACUAGAAGAGGAUAGAUUUACAUUCUAUAUAAGGAAGAAGUUAUUUACAAUGAGGGUGGUGAGAUGCUGGAACAGGCUGCCAGAGGAGCUGUGGAUGCCCCGUCUCUGUAAGUGUGCGAGGUCAGGUUGGACAGGGCUUUGAGCAACCUGGUCUAGUGAAAUAUGCCCCGGCUCAUGGGCAGGGGGGUUGGACUAGCUGAUCUUUAAAAGCUGAUCUUUAAAAGUCCUUUCCAACCCAAACCAUUCUUUGACUCUAUAACCAGACUCCCCCUGCAGUCUUGUCCUGGAUCAAAAAGGGCUGCACCAACAAAUGCGGGCUCUGUGCUGACUGCCGCCCCAUGGCUCAGCUGCAAGUGCAGGGAUGUGACCCUGAUUUGUGGUCAAGGCCACAAAUCAUUAGCCUGCUGCCCAUGGGGCCUGGCAGAGCCCUGGAUCUCAGUCUUGUACAUUGCUGCUGCACUGGACCCUGCAGAAGAGGCUUCUUCCCUCCCCACAGCCUUUUCUUAUUUUGUAUUAACUCUAUUUUCCUACUAACAUUACCUUGUGUCAAGGUGCCCUAGUGCCAGAGCCUUUAAAUGGGAAACUCAAGCUGUUGAGAGUUCCAAGAUGUCUUAGGCUGCUUGUUAUUUCUGAAGGCAAUGUCUGAGAAAAAAGGACUACCAGAGGCCUAGAACAAUAAGUAGUCUAUUCGAGCUUUGUUUACAGUAACAUGAUCUCUUCAAGGCCUGCAAAGUAAUCUUUUAGAGACUAAGUUUCAGAAGCAGAACGGAAAAGCAGCUGGAUUUUUAUCUUUUUAUCCUUUCUUUUUUUCCUGCAUUGUUUUUCAUGGCAUGGCAGUGCUUUUCCAAGUAUAGCAGCUUAAUGCAAAGUCAAUGAAGUCUUGCAGUGAAAUAGUAUAUUAAAAACAAAACCGACUUUGACCUUCUGCACAAGCCUUGGAAAGAUCGGCUUGGCCUAAAAUAUUCCUGGCCAAAGUGUUUUUAAUCUGUUAUUCAAAUCCUCUGAUCUCCCAGGCAAUCUGUCUCGGAGAAAUUCUGUACCAGAAGUGUCUUGUAAUUUUAAUGUUCGCCCUGCUCUUUGCAGGCACCUUUUAGGUUAUCUGAAGACAGCUUCAAAUCUUGAUCUUUUCACCUCUGAAUUUUAUUAUUAUCUUUUGAUCUCUGAUUCUUCUUAUCCCCAUUUCUUCAGCUGAUCUGGAGUUCCUUGAACUGGACCCCAAGGCUUUGCUAAGUGAGUAGUGGGAGAUUACCUUGGGUAUUCGUAGACAACACUUGUUAGUAUUUCUGAAUAUGAAAUCAGAUAUAGGUGAGAGUCCUUUUGUAAUAUAACAUAUAACACAUAUAACAAUCAGAUAAUAUAACACAACAUUGUUGACUUAUGCGUGGCCUGUGACACACGAUGUUCCCCAGACCCUUUUCAGCAGACAGCUGCAUGCCACAGUGUUCCUUGUCUCAUACUUGUGCAGUUUCUACAUAGUCAUUCCUAGCUGUCCAUGCUAAAUUGCUCAUUCCGGGUUGUUUUUCCAGUUUGUCUAGAUCACCUGAGUUCUGAUCUUGCUGUCGAUGUUUUGCAGCCCCUCCCAGGUUGCUGCAGCCUGCAAAGGCCUGUCUUGUUCCUGUGUGCUUGAACUCUUCCCACCAAGCUUUAUUUAAUUCUACUGAAGGUUUUAUUUGUCAUUACUGAACCCCAUUGCAGCAGGCAUGCACUUCAAAGGGGGCAGGGGGGCACUUUAUGAUUUAGCACAGGGAACAUCAAGGGCUUGUUGGUAUAAUGUUUGGGAUGUCGAGGGUUGGUUCACUAAGGAAUGAGCAUGGGGGAGUUUCCCUUUCAUUCGUCUUUUCUUGAUUGGGGUUUUGUUUUCUGUCCAAGUUACACGUGUGGAGCAAUGUUGUAUGAAUGUAGAGGAGUUUAUUAAGCUUGAUGAGAGGGAGACUGUGAGUCAAUAGAGGUGCUUAUAUUUGUGCGUGUCUUCCAUAGGGGUUUUGUGAUAAAGGGAAGGAAGUUGCAGAGCUCUUACAAUUGGGUAGUAUUACUUAGGUCAGACAUUUUGCCUCUUAGUCCAGGGCCUUAUGUGUGCAGUACAGAUACAGUCUUGGAGAGGAGAGCUAAUCUGACACCCAAGGAAACUCAGAUUUAAUGGUUCUCCUCUGGACUCAGGCUGUUUUUCCAGAUAGUUCGCAAGCUAUGUCUGAUCUUGCAUCCGCUUUGCCAAUGUGUGGUGCCUCCAGCUCAGGGUGUGACUCAGAUAUCAGUUGGAAGUUCUUGAGCCCUUCAGGCUCCAUAGAUUGGGCUCAGCUGUGACCUUCUUUCCUUUUAUUCUGCUGAGGCGUAUCCCAACAUAAUUUACAACCCACCAGGAUGCAUCCCCAAGUGAGCUGGAAUGAGGGCCUGUGCUUUCCCUGGUUUCUUCUUCUCUGGGAGCAUUUAGCUUCCCUGCUGGAUGGUGGAAUGUGGACUCAUCAAACAGAGAAAGCAGAAAAGAAAGAGUUGACAAUGGCUUAGGAAACAUAGGACCUACCAGCACAUACAGCAGCAGCACUGGCGCAUGACUGAGAGAAAAAGUAAAGGCUGUGAUUUAAUGUCAUUGCUUAGAGACCCUCUUCCGUUUGUCCCAUUUUCUUUUAUGUCUGAAUGGUGGCAGUUCGGGUGGAAGAGGCUUUGCAGGUGAUGCUGGAGGGGUGAGAUAUGAGAGAAGGUUCCCCUUCAUUUUCGUGGCAAGAAGUGACUCUGUUGGUUGCCUACUGCCCUUGGUGACACCCAGGGAAGAUCUGGGAGAAGGUGAGCCUGGGUGGAUCUGGGAGAGUGGGAAAGGGACCAGAAUAAGAAGGAGAGUAAAGAAGGAGCAGGUCAGAAUUAACACUGCUGGUAAACGAAGCAUGAAGAGAAAUGGCAAAAGCAGAGUGAAAUUCUGGUGGCAAUGGCAUGCAAUAAAAUACACAUUAUUGUUUCAAAAUCUUCCUGCUUGCUUAUUAAUUUGGCAUCAAUAAUUGGCCAUGUCCCACUGGAUAUGUCCCACUAAAAGGUGGAAAGUGGUGGAUGGGUGAUCUCCCCUUUGCUCCUCAGAGCUUCACUGGGGCUUGGCCAGAUCUGGGACUACCUGGUAGGAGAAUAUAGCCUUCUGCCCUCAGUCCUUUCCUUAUCUUCUAAGGCAAUGCACUGAUGCAUCAUCACAACUUCAGUACUCAUCACGUCAGCCAGAAAGAUGCAUGAGUUUCUCUUUUAAUUUUGAGUUGGGAUUGGAUUUUGAGCUUUUCCUUCCUAGCAUCUACUUGGGCUCCCUGAAUCACUCUUCAAAGACUCUCUAGGACAGCAGUUCUCUGCCCUGUUUGUGAUUUGAACCCAGGUGGCGUUUACAACCUGUGUGUGCAGCUACGUGAAUGUUGCAUCUACACUAGCAAACUGCUUGCAAGGAAAACCUUGCAUUUUCCAGAGACUGCAGUCUUCCCUGGAAGCAGAUAAGAGAUAAACAGACUGAAAAAUGGAUAAAGCUGCUUACAGGCAUUACUCCAUGGUCUUUUCCUUGGUAUUACCUUUAAUUGCAAAGUUCUGGUAACUAACCUACUGAGUCUUUUCCUCUUGUGUCACACUUUUAAGCAGUCAGCAAGUAGGCUGGAGAGGGCAGACCUACACAAACACACUCCCGUACUGGGUCUUCUCUCGUCGUAGGUUCCAUCUUUAUUCUCUGGCCUGUGCUGGUACUAUGAUGGCUAAGACAUAAUAAUUACUUUUUAAUGUAUAUUUGGGGAUGGAGCUGAGUCCAAAAUACCUGAAAUAUUACGAGGACUGUGUCUUCUUAUGUUUGCUGCAGGUGGAGGGAGUUUCUUUGUUGCUUGGCCCCUCUUGCAGAACACCAGAAGACUUUGUGUGUGCAUGCAGUUGGCCAUAUGGAGAGCAGGUCUCCAGCAGAAUCCAGAUGCUGAGCUGUUCGGCAACACAGUUUUAAGAUACCAGAGACCACGAAGAGCACGCCGAGGGAGGAGGGGUGGAUGGAAUUGGUAACAUCCCGGGAGUGAUCUGUGGAAGGAGAGGGAUUGCUUAAUAUCAUCAGUCUGUCUUUUCAUCUGACAGCACCUUCCAUGCUCUGCUUUUUCAAAAUCCCCUGUGAAAUCCACCAAUUUUGAACAAAUUCUUCUUAAACAGUUCACUGCUGGAGGAAAGAACUUGUACAUUAUUCCUAGGGGAGUGCUAUCCCUUGUGGAGGCUCAAAGCAUGUGGUUUGUGUAUCAGACUUCCUAGAACAAGCUUUGAGAAGACCAUCUAGGUGGAGACAAGGCACUUUCACUCAUGCUUUCAUAGACAUGGACCAUGGUGAUUCUUUACAAGCUGGACUAGUCACGAUCUCUGUCAGUCCUUGGACAUUGUGUCAAAGGGUGAGAGGAGUGACUUUGAUCUGCUGAAAGACCUUGAAGAUCUUCCUGAUAAUUCAAGAUUUCUUUGGGCUGGAUUUUUUUGGGCUGUUUCUCUUCACCUGUGUCAUCGGGGGACUAGGUUCUGGUGUUUCUAAUGAGGCUGGUAUCUGAGAGCUGGUGUAUCUCCGAAACCUGGGGAAGAGGAGAUGAAAGAGGAAGCUCCUUCAGCAAGGCAUGAAGGACAGUGAGACCUUAAGAGCUCUACAUCUCCAGGAGGACUCCUGGCAAGGGAGGCUGAAUUGCUGCCUUGGAGAUUGCUCCUCUUCCAGAAGCUCUGGCCUCGCCACCAUUGUGUGGUGGCCGUGCUGAGUGGGUCACACACAGCUGACGAGUACAGCAGUGAAUGUCAUUUGCCUCUGAGUCCUGGCCAGACACCAGGAAUGAAGGACUGGGGACAACAGUAGCGGCGAUGGUGUUUGCUUGGAUCUCAUGUUACCUUGCUACGCGCCUGUUGAGGCAAAUGUCCCUAGAGUAGCCAUGUGCACGGAUUUCUCCAGAGCUGGCUGGCCCUAAUGACACCUUCAUGGGUCGAGGUGAAAUGUCCCAAGCACCAAAAGAUUCUUCUUUCAGAUGGCUGCCUUCUGAAUGGCUUCCAUUUGCAGAGAGAUUCCAGCCACACGGAAAAUGUGACUUCUCCCAGUAUACCUCAUCAAAAGGAUCAGAAGGUUAUCAAAAUGUUUGAAUCUAGAAUCAGCUUUGUGCUAUAUAAAGCAAACUAAUAUUUUGAUAGAAGCAUUGGUGUGAAUGAAGCUUUAAAAAAUUUAAAAGUGUUAAUCUUUGGUUGCAUAAGGAAGGGGGUUGUGUGGGUUUGUGGGUUUUCUUGUUG